Molecule: long non-coding RNA, 1806 nt
Filed under: Mus musculus (house mouse)
Lineage: Eukaryota; Metazoa; Chordata; Mammalia; Rodentia; Muridae
Description: Jpx transcript, Xist activator
Source: RNAcentral
CACGGCACCACCAGGCUUCUGUAACUUAUAAAAUGGCGGCGUCCACAUGUAUACGUCCUUCCCGGGAUUAGCCAGGCAGCUAGAGGAUGACUUAAUAAGGAGAGUGGAGAAACUGGCCAAUUAAUGAACAUGCCCUGAUCAUUAAUCCACCACUGAAGGAAGUCAGAGCAGAAACUCAAGCAGGGACUUGAAGAAGAAACCAUGGAGGAAUACGGCUUGCUGGCUCACCUUUCAAGAUGUUCAACUUGGCUGCUCCAGCUACCAUGCCUGCUGCCUGCCACCUCCACUCUGUCAUGGAACUGUAAGCCCAAAUAAACUCUUUUUUUAUCUAAGUUGCCUUGGCCACGUUUUAUCACAAUAUCAGAAAAGUGACUGAUACACAGGGUUUCUUACUGAACCUGGAGCUGGCCAGCAAGCCUGUGGGAGCCAUCUGUUUCUAUCCAUGAGUGCUGCACUGUGCCGUCAUGCUCAGCUUCUAAAGAUGUGCUUGGGAUCUGAACUCAAGUCUUCAUGCAAGCACUUUGCCCAUUGAACUAUCUCCCCCAUCUCUCCCAUGGCUCUUGCUCUCCAUUAAGCAAUCUUUGCCAAAUUGGUCUACCCCCAGACUCAGAAGGAAGACCACUGAAGCCACCGCAGACAGCAGAACCUCAAUCAGCUUGAAAGAGAAUGGGCUCAACAAAAGAGCAAACUGUCAACAGUGAUGAUGAGGUGCAACAUUCAACUUCACAGUUCUUGGAAUCACAGACCUGGAGGAGUGGACUUCCUGGGAUGAAGAUGAGCCCACUAGUGCAUCGAAGGAGGGAAUGGGAUUGUGGCAACACAGCAGAACUCUUUGGAGCAACUGGAACCUGACUACUUCGAGGCCAUAACUCCAACUAUACAGAAAACUCAGAAAAUUGUCAUUAAGAAGAGAGAACCAUUGAAUUUUGGUGUCCCAGAUGGUAGCACAGGUUUUUCCAGUAGAUUGGCAGCUGCACAAGAUAGGCCUUUUAUUCAUCAGUCUUCAAAAUUAGGUGACUUAGAUACGUGGCAAGAAAAUACCAGUGCAUGGGAAGAGGAAGAAGACGCAGCCUGGCAAGCAGAAGAAGUCCUGAAGCAGCAGAAAAUUUCAGACGGAGAGAAGAGACAGCAGAACAACAAAGGAAGAAAACGGAGAAGGAAGCGCAACGCCCUAUAAAGAAGGAGCAAAGCAAAGUCUGUGUGAAGCUUUCCUAACAGGCUUUGUGAGUCUGGGCGCACAGCCUACACGCAAGCAUUUGCAUGCACUGGACAGUAUUCUCAGAAUACAAACACUCUGCUAGAUCUCAGUUUGUUAUUGAGCUAUCCAGGACACCAGGAUUCUCCCAUAAUACCUUGAACUAUUAGGAAUCAAGACUCAAAACACAAAAAUAAUGAGACAAUUAUUUUCUUCAAUGUGUUCCAAAUAGAAGACAAUUGUUUGCUGUAGAGAAGUUAUUUCAAGAGGAAUAUACCUGACAAGUACCUCUCAAGCUAGUGUUUCUAGAUGAACAAAGGGCUGUAAAUAAUUUUAUGGUGGAAAAGUACCCUGCUACUUACUAUGCUUUUGUUCAUUGUACAUAAUUAUAAAAUAAUUUUAAUGAUCAUUUGUUUCCAUGACCGCUUGAUGUAAAUUAGACAAACUGUAGGUAGGGCUUUAUACCCUUCUUAAUUUUGUUUUCAGGUACUGUUGACAUACAUUUUCUAUCAUUUGAACUGGCAUUGUUUGGUACAACAUUAAGGGAUAUGAUGAUUUGGGUUUUUAAGAAAAUAACAUUAAAUGCAAUAAUUUUAUUUAUCAAAAAAAAA